GAUUUCCUGGGGUGAUCGCCAGUGAGUUAUGUCCCUGAGCCGAUAUCUAAAAUCCUAUGAAUCGGUUUCCUGUCAUUGGUGUGUAAGCUUAACCAUAUUUAUAUGGGCUAAGAAACCUAAAAAUGAUUAUAACUGAUUCCCUUGAACCGUCGGGUUCAAGGACUACUACUCGCAACGACACCCUGGGGUCUUC
The sequence is a non-coding RNA, 193 nucleotides long. It matches the Rfam family "6S / SsrS RNA". From Rfam's summary of the family: E. coli 6S RNA was the first non coding RNA to be sequenced, but its function was unknown until recently.